Alosa alosa (allis shad) is the source of this 517-nucleotide long non-coding RNA. RefSeq lists it as uncharacterized. The transcript is spliced from 3 exons. The record is from RefSeq and is a predicted model, not a curated record. Lineage: Eukaryota; Metazoa; Chordata; Actinopteri; Clupeiformes; Clupeidae.
GAAAUGUGAAAGUGAAUGUCUUUGUGUCCUUACAUCAUCAUCUUCUAUCUACUCAAUUCUGUGUCAAGGUUGCACAUGUACAAUCUUCACUGUUGGAAGUUAAAGGAAACUUUUCCCAGGUUGAUGCAGACAUGUACGUCUGUGGACCCCUUUUCGUUGCAUUCCUUCUGUCUGCACCAGGUGUUUCAGGAAAUAAGUAUGGUGUGGAAUACAGCUUAACAGAGAUCUGUGCACCAGCUGGGUCUGCAGUGGAUAUUCCCUGCACAUACACCUAUCCAACAAAGGACAGAGUUAUGAAAGCAUUCUGGUUUACGAAAUGGGAGAAAGACAAGGAACCUGAAGACUUGUUUCAGAGUGAAGACUAUCGAGAUCGAGCUGAAUAUCGGGGGAGUAAAGAGCAUGACUGUACUCUCAGGAUAAAAAAUCUGAGAGACACAGACCAUGGGCUGAAAUAUAGAUUUAGGUUCAUAACAGAUGAUCCGGAUGGAAAAUAUGCUGGCAAUGAAGUGACUCUUUA